AAAAAUGGAGGCCUAAAACUAAAUUUCAAACGGAAUCCCCAUGACAAACGCAAGAAACACGAAAGCAAGAACCGGAAGGAACAGCCACGCCAAUAUACAGAGCGAGCCAGCACACAGUUUUUUUUUCAUACGGCUGGUCUGCAAUUAGGUGCCUCGACUGCUUGCUAGCCGCCGGAUUAAUCUUUCCCUACCCUAAGUUAUGGUGUCAACAAACACCUAUUAUUAUUCGUGCGCACGUUCUGGAGCCGCCUUGGCGUCUCUGUCCCGGACGACGCCUCUUCAGAACGAACUCUGUGAUCUUCGAAGGCGUGCACCCCUCCACCACUUCGGUCCUCCGCCAGUGCAAGAUGAGGCCGCCCUGAGGCGUAUCAGACUGCACCGCGAGGACACCGCCGUGGCUAACCUUUGGUGCCGUGCAUUCACCACGGCGAUGCUCUGAUCAAACCCUCCCCCCUCUUUGUAUAUUACAAAUUUUUUCAGCUAGCCUACUUUUGAUCUGAUUAGGCAUAACACCAUACAAAUAAGACUUUUGGUUUAUUCUGAUGACUUUAAAUCCUUGACUUUCUUCUGUCAAAUCAUUUAUUAACAGUGAACUUGUGUUCCACUUGUACACUUACCUAGAAAUAUAAUGCUUGGCUCUUAACAAACAAUGGUUUCAUUUUCUUAUCCAUUCAUGUUUUAAUAUUCUUCCCUGUGUGCUAGUGCUUCUUUUGACUUUUGUUCAUGGUCCACCUUUUAUGUGCAUAUACAUUUCAGGCUCAGGUUUUAGUGGGAUAUGAUGAAGCUAAAAAGUGGACGACGACCGUUCUAUAAGGAUGUUAAGCUUGUAGACUGCCGUUCAGGCUCAAGUCUUCCACAUUUGGCUGCUCAAGCAAAGUUUGCAGCCAUGAACAUGAAGACUGAAGAUGUCAAUCCUCGUCGACCAGUUCAAGUCAGACGAAGUAGAUGGGCUCUUGGUGAUGUAACCGAGGUGUUGGAUCAUAAUUCGUGGAGGCUUGGGAAGAUUACAGAAGUACUGAAGAAUGACUAUUUUGUCAUCAGGCUAGUGGGUUGCAUCCAACCAAGAGAAUUCCACAUAUCUUGCUUGAGGAUUCCACAUGAUCGCAAGCAGUUGACUGUUGGAGGCAGGAUCAAUGAACUGAAUAAGCCGACCCGAUUUGCUGACUGCUCCUCUCACCACUCAAAAUUUGUGAUGGAACAGGACCAUCAAGCCUAUGAAGAGGUUGAUCACUAUGCUAAGAGGAAAGCAGCCAAUAUCUGUGCUUCCACCGGUGCUAGAGCUGUCAAGAGAAAACUAGAAGCAAGCAGGAUCCCACCUAAUGGUUUAGUCAGAAGAACAGGCAAGGAACAGAAAGUAUCUACACAUGAAUUUCGCCAGUUAACCAAGAACGAGUUGCCUCCAAAGGUGUCUGCUAGGAAUGCCAUCGACGAAGAUGAUCAUUUUCAUAGGCCUUUAAGUAGCAGAUACAACGAUCUGCCUGAGAAACCUCUGCGCACCAGAGAAGAGGACGAGUGCUCGGUGGCUAGCUGCAGCGCGAAUUACACAAGUGGAACGAAAAGGCCUUCGAGCAAUACGGACACUGCUUCUAGUCCGCCAAAGAAGAAUAAGAACGCAAUGGUUAGGUGCAUGAAGGGUUUGCUUGAUCGAUUAGAUUCUGGCAGUAGCAAAGACGUAGAUACAGCUACGCAGAUUCAAGAAAUAAUUGAGACAAAAAGAAAGGAGCAGCAAGCUGCAGAUUUCAAGGAGAUAGACCUGUGUUUGGCACUGGCAAAGGAAUGUGGGGCUACUGAGGAGACAGACGAGUUCUUCGUAGCUUCCCAACUGUUUGCAAGCUGCAAAUUUCAAAGACAUGUUUUCCUAGGACUGUCUUCAAAUGCAGGAAGGAUGGCUUGGUUGAAGAAGCACUGCAAGGGCUGGACUUUUUAAGGACUUUAGUUUAUGUCAUAGGACUGGCUUUUCUAUUUGUGUAUCAUGAAGUUAAGUCUAUGAACUGUUAGUUAUAUUUGGUUUGUGAACUGUUAUGUACGGCUGUGAUGCAUAAACUUUGUGAUGCAUGAAUCUUGUUGUGGUUGUGCUGCAUGAUUUUGCAUGAUUUGUGGAGGUUGUGCAUGAAUCAUUUGCAUCUUAGUUGUCUUGUGAAUAAUUUCGAAGAAGUUGUGUUGUGACCUGGUAACAAAAGGUUUGUUGUCAACUACUUGAUUUUACUGGGUUACAGAGGAUGAAGAAGCACAGGACGCACAAGACGCACAAUGGAUUACACAGUACAUAUUGAAGUGUCGAAAAUGGAGAAUGACUAUUUGUAUUGCUGCUGCAGCUAUGGGUAUGUACUAUCUUGACAAAUAUUGGAACAAAGCAGAUUACAGAAUACCUACUGAGUCUGGUUACCAAUGGGUGAUGAGAUCAUUGGGCAAUAGGACUUACUGCUAUCAAAAUUAUAGAAUGCAUAGGAAUGUGUUUGAUCUUUUGCAUAAUGUCCUAGUUGAGUCCUAUGGUUUGACUUCAACUAGAAGAAUGUCAUCAGUUGAGACCUUAGCAUUCUUUCUGUGGAUGUGUGGAACUCCCCAAGGCAUGAGGCAGGCAGAGGACAGACUAUUUAGGUCCAAGGAAACCUUGAGUAGGAAGUUUGAGAAAGUUUUGAAUUGUCUUAACAAACUAGCUGUUGACAACAUAAGGCCUUUAGAUCCUGAGUUCACUACAAUUCACCCUAGGCUGCAGUCACGAAGAUUCUCUCAUUACUUUGAUAAUUGCAUAGGUGCUAUAGAUGGCACUCAUAUACCAGUUGUAGUUCCAGCAAAUCAGGUUGUGCAACAUACUGGUAGGAAGGGGUACACUAGUCAAAAUGUGUUGGCAAUCUGUGACUUCAACAUGAGAUUCACUUUCGUCGUCGCGGGUUGGCAUGGAUCUGUACAUGAUAUGAGAGUCUUUAAAGAUGCAGUUGACAAAUAUGGCAACAAGUUUCCCCAUCCACCCCAGGCAAGUUUUAUCUUGUGGAUUCGGGAUAUCCCAACAGGCAGGGUUAUCUGGCGCCGUAUAGAGGUACAAAGUACCAUCUUCCUGAGUUUCAGCAAGGUCCUAUGCCAAGAGGUAAAAAAGAGGUUUUCAAUUUUGCACACUCUUCGCUUAGGAAUGUGAUCGAAAGAAGCUUUGGAGUCUUGAAGAAUAAGUGGCGGAUUUUAUUACAUUUACCUAGUUAUCCUAUGCCUAAACAAAGCAAGAUUAUAAUUGCGUGCAUGGCACUUCAUAAUUUUAUUAGAGAAAAUUCAACGACAGAUGAUGAUUUUGAUUUAUGUGAUGAUGAUGAGAACUAUGUUCCCAUUACCUCUGAAGGACCAUCUACGCAGGGAACAAAUGAGUUGACAACCACAACAGUUGAUGAAGACAUAAAUAUGAACCAUUUUAGAGAUUCGAUAGCUGAUGGGUUGUUUGCUAGACAAUAGUUUUUUCUUUAAGUUGUUGUAAGAGAAAUAGUUUGUUUGCUGUGCUCGACAAUUGGAUCUGUUCCAGGCAAUUGUUUGUUCCCAUUAGAUUGUGAUGAGAAAUCAGUUUGCGUUGUAAUACAAACUUUGAUUGUUGAGAAAACAAUUUGAAAUAAUAUAAAACUGUUUUUUUGAACA
This is an RNA transcript of Zea mays, 3615 nucleotides long. It is a transcript of the gene named Plant Tudor-like RNA-binding protein, with no coding region annotated. The transcript is spliced from 5 exons. The record is from RefSeq and is marked predicted. NCBI's taxonomy places the organism in Eukaryota, Viridiplantae, Streptophyta, Magnoliopsida, Poales, Poaceae.